UACACACCGCCCGUCACACCAUGGGAGUUGAUUGCACCAGAAGUGGGUAGCCUAACCGCAAGGGGGGCGCCUACCACGGUGUGGUCAAUGACUGGGGUG
RNAcentral lists this ribosomal RNA (99 nucleotides) under uncultured bacterium. Its description in RNAcentral is "partial 16S ribosomal RNA". It matches the Rfam family "Bacterial small subunit ribosomal RNA", at positions 1384 to 1482 of the family's 1533-position model. The record is from RNAcentral.